Molecule: long non-coding RNA, 7920 nt
Filed under: Physcomitrium patens
Lineage: Eukaryota; Viridiplantae; Streptophyta; Bryopsida; Funariales; Funariaceae
Description: long non-coding RNA (PPAT_LNC009620)
Source: RNAcentral
AUGCGUACGCAAUGCCCCAAAGAGUGAUAGUAGGUCCAAAAACUAACACCUUAACUUUGAGCGCCCAUAACUUCUUCAUAAAAAUCCCAAAUGACACAAAACUUAUACCAAAACUAUAGCCAAAAACCUAAACCUUUUGACCUUAGCCUUCAAAAUUCGAAUGGCUUCGAAAAACUAAUCCUAAUCUCUAAUAUGGCCUCGGAUAGCCUCCUCAAAGCUCAUUGGUCAUGAUUUUUGACCAAUAGGAAUGGAGAUUUUCAUUAUUCAUCUCCAUUCAUCUAUAUUGGUGCCCUAAUUACUCCCUUUGCUACCAAAAUCCUUCUUCAAUCCUUUUUCUUAUAAGAUUUACAUAAUUUAUGCUCUAAAUACCAAAUAAAAGAAUCAAAAGAAGUUUUCAAAGGUCACUAAUGUCUAACAAAGGUGAUUCUAAAUAUUUAGAAGUUACUAUCAACCAAAACCAAUCUUAAAAGCCACUAUAAAAAAGAAAUUAAAGUUAUACAAAUUCUAUAGUAAUCUUUUUAAACAACCUCUUUUCAAGGUAAUAAUCAAAUUAUAUUCUACAACCAACUAAAAUCUACUAACAUGGCUCUCACCAUGUUACUUAAUAAAUUAUAUAUUAAGUACACAAUUACAUUAUUUUUAUAUAGUAGUCAAACCACAAUACGACAUUCACCCCCUCUAAACUUGUGCAUCCUUCGAUAUGGACGAAGAAGAACUAAAGUUGUGGUCGGCAUCAUAUUACCUUCUCAGUAAUGUCUUCUUCAAAAUCCAAUUCUUCUUCCUCAUAACUAGAUAGAUCAAAUUCUUCUUCAACAUCUUCGAGGACUAGUUCUUGAUUCCAUUGUUUGAAAAGUUUUAUACAUUUUUUUGCAAUUAGAAUUUUGAGUCUUGUUCCAUCUAAUUCCUUUAAUGCAUAUGUAGAAUUAUCCAAAACAUGUUCAACCACAUAAGGCCCAAACAAAUGCUUAGAGAACUUUUUAAGAGCAUUAUGUUGGUUAUCGAAGGUGUUGUCAUAUACUAGAAUCCAAUCACCUUCUUGAAUAUCUUUUGGCCUCAACCUGUGUCGCUUAUCAAAUCUAUCUUUAUUCUUCAAGCGCGACUCUCUCAACCUUAUAAUUAUUUUUUCUACAUCUUCAGGUCUUCUUUCUAGUUGACGAAUUCGAAGUACAAGAAGUUCUUCUUUAAAUAUAUUCUUGCCAAGGCAAGAUACUUCAAGUAGGUAUUUGCUCUUCAAUGGACAUAAUGGACUUCUAUCCUUGCAUAAACUCUGCCGACAUAUAUCCUAUCACUGAACUGUGAAUAGUACGAUCAACCCAAAGAGCAAAUGAUAAUAAUCUUGGCCAUUCUCUUGCUCUUCCUUUGUAAGCUUUAACAAUGGCCUUUACAAUAGGAGGAUGACCUCUCUCAUACUUAACAUUGCCUUCUAGAUUAUAAGGUGUAGUAUGUGAUAACUUAACUCCACAUCUCUCAAAGAACUGUCUAGCCUCAUGUGCAUCCAAUUCUCCAUAAUCAACAGUAAUUUUUCCAAUACAUCCAUAUCUAUAAAUCACAUCUUCCAAUAAAAAUCUACAAACUCCUUUAGUAGAUUUUGUCCAUAGAGUUCUUCUUUCUAUUUGGUUAGAUAAAUCUUCUCGUGCCAAAGCCAAGUAUCGCAUUUGCCAUAUCUCCAUAGGCAUAGUAACUAGGUCCACAACCCAUUUAUAAUGUAUUGCAAGUGGAUAUGUAGGAUCCAAUCCAUCUCUAUGUCGAAUCUCCGAGUAUAUCUAAUAGGUUUGGCAUGAUUCUACGAACUUUACCACAUCUCUAUACAUAUUACGCCACCAAUAUUUUUCUUUGAGCUUGUUAAAGGUGGCAUAAAUACCUUUAUGUCCAGCCUACAAACUAUCAUGAAACUCAUGGAUUAAUUGUUCUUGCAUCUCUUUCUUGCAAACUACUCUUUGUGGCAUUCCACUACCCCAUUUGCAUCACUUCCAUAGAUAAUCACCUUGUAAGAAGUAGUUAUAAGCCUUCCAUCUAAUCUGUUUGAAAUGAAUAUUACUUUAUCCUGAUUGUCUUGAUAAUGUGCUUAAAUAGCAUCCAAUAUCAAUCUAUUCUUCUUCAUAUAAUUUUUCUAUAAAUAGUCUUGAAUAUUCAUCUUCUCAUUGUUGUAUCCUAGAAUAAAAGGUAGUACCUAUAUCUUCAGUAUCUUCAAUCAAAUCUUCUUCAUAUAAUUCUUCUGUAAAUGGUCUUAAAUAUUCAUCUUUUCCUUGUUGUGCCCUAGAAUAAAAGGUAGUACCUAUAUCUUCAGUAUUUUCAAUCAAAUCUUUUUCUUGUUCAUAUUUGGCUCAAGAUAGCAUAUCUGCUAUAAGAUUAUCCUUGCCUGCUAUAUUCCUAAAUUCAAGAUUCAAAGAUUUAAUAUAUGCAAUCCAUCUUAGCAUAGCAAUAUCAUGGGUGUUACAGUUAGUAAUCAUUCCUAAUAGUGGCAAGCAAUCUGUUUCCACUAUCACUGGUGCUCCAAUUAAAUAAUCUCUUUCACUUUUCAUAGCUGUAACUAUUUCCGAUAACUUUCGUUUCACCUGUGGAUAGUUUCUUUGUCGUUCACUUAAUACUUUAGCUCCAAAUUUAAUAGAAAACUUGUUAUCUUCUUCAUUAUUUUGUCCUAAAGUCCAACCAACAGCUAUUGGACUAGUAUCAACUAUAAGUAUCACCGAUUUGUCAUCCUCAUAACUUAUUCUUCGUAAUACAGGUGGAUAAGAUAAUAAUUGCUUUAGCUUUUGAAUUAUUUCUGUAUGUUUUUUCUCCCAUUUAAAUCUCUUCUCUUUUCAUAGCAAACUAUAAAGAUGAUCAGCUACAUGUGCAUAAUGAGGAAUUCAUACACAAUAAAAUAUGCAAGCUCCUAAAAUCCUCCAUACCUCUGUUUGUGAGCUACAAAUAUCCUUCAUUCGUUGUAUGGCAUCUACCUUAUUAGGAUCAGAUUUGUGACCAAACCAUCCACAUAAAUGCCCUACAAUAACAACUUCUCAAACUCCAAAGGUAGAUUUAGCUCCUCAUAGUAUCAAGUGAACCUCCUCAAGUCGAGAUAAAAUUUUGUCACAAUCUGAAAUAUGAUUAGAUACAAAUUUACGGCACCCCUUCUGAUCCAUUGUUUCAUUUUUUUCUUCUUCCAUACACCCUUUUAUUGGAAUAUCAUCCAAGAAGGACAUAGUCUUUUCUAGAAUGAAAUCACAAAGAACCUUAUUCAUCCCAUUCAUCAUAUGAGCUACUGAGUUUGUUGCUCCUUGUGGCAAUGUACACAUCUUAACCAACCCUAAAGGUGUCCUCAUAGUAGUAACAUCUUUGCUUCCUUCAGCUUGUUGAAAUUGAUCAUAUCCAGAAUAAAGAUCUCCAAUAGAGUAAAUAGUUCUACUAGCAAAUGCCUCAACAAAUUCUCCAACAAUUGGUCCAACUCUAGUAUUUCUAAUAGUUACUUGAUUCACUGGUUGCAUAUCUUAAAUGAACCGUAGUGUUCCAUUUUUCUUUAGUACUAUAAAUCAACGACUGAAAUAUGGUACAAAUGAUGGCUCGAAGAUCUUCAUUUGCAUCUUCUCUUUUAAAAACUCCAUAAGUUUAGGUAGAUGUGCUUUAGGCACUGAAAUUAGUCUUAAAUUCCAAUGAACAUGUAGGACUGUAAAUAUAAUCAUUGGUGCCACAACACUUAGAUCGACACAUCCAAUUUCUGAAGGUUCAAAAGCAAAAGCCUUUCCAUGCAUAUUUAACAUAUUUCUAAAUUCCAUUUCUUCAACAGACAAUAGAAAAUUUGCAGAUCCUAUUUUCAACUCAUUGAGUGUGUUCUUAGUAAACUUAUGGCCAAUUUGUUUAGGAUCCCAUAAGUCCUUCUCCUUCAAAGCUUGUUGAACUUGAUGAUUGGAAUCACUAGGUAAUGGUAUAGCUACACGUUUUAUUUUCUUCUCCACAGUCUUGUACCUAGUUUCAACUUUGACUUCAUAAUCUUGAAAUGCUUGUAUAGUUGAGUAGAGCUCUCUUGAAUGUACUUGCAUCACUUGAUCUUUAUUUCCUUGUUCAACCUCUAAAAGUUCUUCCAUAAAAUCUUCUAAAUCAGUCUCCAUAUAUACACCUACUAUCUUAUCAUCUCCAUCAAGCACACCUAUUCUUUUUAGGUCUUUUUUAGAUUUUUUCACAACUUUUUUCUCUCACUUUGGUAGAUCAUUAAGUUGUGUAUAGAUAGCAAAUCUAUUCUUAGAUAAUUCUAUAAUACCUGUACAAAAGAUACUUUCUUUUUCAUGCGAGAGUACCUUCUUUGAUGUACCACUACAUUCUUGCUCUAUAGUGGUACCCUACAAAAAUCCGUAAACUCUUCACUAACCCUUGGUAAUAAAUCACUUCGUAAAUAAUCUCGAUUAUACUCAUGGUUUGCAAGUAUUGUUAGAAAUUGCACUGCCCUUUUUCCAUCUUGACUUCUAAUACUGGCACAUGCUGAUCCAUCAAUCAAAACUUUGGUCUCCAUCCUCACAACUGUAAUAUAUGGUUGAUCAAGAAUCACUGGGUAUGAAGUAGUAACUUGAACAAAAAAAAUUUGUUCUAUGGUCACAUCUCCAACCUUUAUCUUCACAUUGGGGCAAGCACCAUAAAGAUCUCCUCGUGUAUUAUUUGCUACCUGAAUCACCCAUCCAUGGUUAAUAUCAAUGGGCCACCUUCCACGUUUAUAGACUUCUUUUGACAUAAUAUUAACUUCAGAUCCAUGGUCAAUGAGAGCAAUUAUUGGUUCUUCCAAGUCUUCCAUUUUUACUAAAGUCUCCAUGGUGGCUCUUGCCCAAUGUCCCUUGGUAUAGUGUCAAGGGCCCUUGUCAUCAUCCUUGUAUUCAUCCAAAUCAAAUUGUCCCUUUUUAUUUAUACAACAUUAUGCCAAUUCAUGUUUCUCUACUUCAGCCAAGAUUGUAUCCAAAGCAUUAGAUAUAGCACAUUCUCCUGUCAACUACCUCUUUCGCUUAAUAGUGUCUAUGAUGACUUCAUAAAACUCUCUCUUUGCAAUGCCUAAAAUUUCUCGUAGAAUAAAUUCAAUUUUGGCAUUCAAUACUCUUUCUUCUAAGACUCCUUUCAAAUCUGUGGCUGCCUCAAUAUCAGAUUGAAGUUUAUAAGUAACAUGCUUACUCUUUCCUUUGUCUUUAUCAACCUCCAUUCUUUCUUCCUAUUUUUCUUUUGGCAGUGAAGCAUUUCCAGGAUGCAAUAUCAAUUGUCUAGCCUUAGAUGGUCUAUUAGCAUGUGGUAUAGAUAUUUCUUUAUUUUGUAUUGUUUCUACAUGCCUUUGAGAUCUCCUCUUGUUUGUUGGCUCUUUUGGAUUUUCUUCUAUUUCAUUUCUUUCCCUUUUCACCUCUAUUUGGGCUUCAUGUUGAGACUUUGCCAAAUAAGCAUGUACAAAUAUAGUAUCUAUAGAGCCAUCCCAUCCUAUGGUAUUUCUAAUUAUUGUGGUUAUAUUAAUUAAUUCUUGUCUUGUUAUUUUUCUUUUAUUCAUGCUGAUAAUAAUAUGAUUUUAUAGAUUCUUUGUAUUUACAUACUUGUCAAAAACAUCCUCCUUUCUUACAGCUUCAAUGCCAUAAGUAAUAGCUUCUCUUGAUGCUAUAGCUUGUUGAGAUAAAUGCUCUUUCAAAAACUUUUUCAUCCCUCUUUUUCCAAAAUUGGUUUUGAAAAACUCACUUGUAUCUUGUAAUGUAAUUUUUCCAUCCUUCCAUAAAAUUACUCCUUGUCAUAAAAUAUUAGUAAAAUCUCCACACUCCCUUUGAGAAUACUCUAUACUAUCGCAUCAAAUACAUCGUUGUAUAUAUCCUGGCUUUGAUACAAAUUUGUUCUCAAGUAAUCCUUCUUUCUCCUCUAGCUUUGCCAGUUUGAUUUGUAAGUCUUUCAUUCCUUUUACCAACUCAUCAAUUGCAUCUUUCUGUGGUGUAACUGUAGACAUAAGAAUUGGAAUAGUACUUACUGAUAUAGCAGGUUCUCGCAAUUGCCUACAAGAUAUUGUAGUUGGUGGAGGUCUAGUCUCUUGCCUUACUAUCACCUUACUCCUCCGAUAUUCUCUUUUGGUAAGUAUGCCCACAGCUUCAGAGACUUUCUUCCAAUCAAUAGUAAGUCCGUUGUCCUCUGUAUUAUCCUCCAAUAGUGAUUCCAACUCCCUUUGUAAAUCAUUGCUAGCUGAUUAAAGAAAUAACUUCACCUUAUCAUUUUCAAGUGUAAGUUUUUCCACUCGAGACAAUUGAAGAAACUAUCUUUUAAAUUCUCAGAAUAACUCUGUUGCAACCAAACCCUUGUUGGAUUUGUUCAUCCAUUCCAUAAACAAUUUUCUUGUCACCUUUUCUUCAUCUUCUAAAGAAUACUCUUCUUUUAGCUGAAGGACAAAAUCCUCCUAUUUCUCUCCAUGAGUUUUAAUAAUUUCCUUUAUAUGCUGACGAAGCUUUUGUACAACUGCAAGCUCAAAUGUAAGGAUCAUAUCUUUCUCCGAUAUUUUAUUGAGCUCCAUCUCUUAAGAAUAAUACUUAAGAUAUUUGGAAAUAUUGCUUCCAUCAAAUUGAUCUAAUAAACCAACAACAAAUUGCAAGGCUUUAGUAGCCAUUGCCUCCUUUCGUUCCAUUGAUUGUUAUUGUUGCAUAAAAAGUGCAUAUACUUGAAACAUUUGAGUUGUAGCAAGAUCAAGUUUCAAUGGAGAUUUCCAAGUAUAAUUCUUCCUACCACUUCCUUGCCUCCCUUCUAUAAUAAAGCCAAAAUAUUUCUUUAAAACUCUCUAUCCGAGAAAUUUUCAUGUCGAGUUCACCAGGUCUAUCGUAUGGCGUGAUUUGCUAACUGGGAAUACACUAAGUAUCUAGCUAUAAAGAGUUUAGGUUUCACUUGUAUAUUAUGCCUUAGCUCCCAAAAAUCCUCUUUGUUUUGUAUAAAAACUCAAAAUAAAUCAAAAUCCUUCAAAACAUUUUUCUUCCCACAAAGACCUUUUUACAUCAAACUUUAGGAUCUCAUAUAUCUCGAUCCAACCAUUUAGUUUGUUUCAAAGUUCUACAUAAGAUAGAUGCUAUUCUUAACCCUUAUUAUAACAAAAAUAAACUAUACAUCUAUCACCGAUCUUUCAGUAUCUUAGAAAUCCUAGCAGGUACACAAAACCCUAACUUACAAGCACUCAAAAACUAUUUUCCCUAUAUCUCAAAAAUCCAAACUCCAAAUUCUACAAAACUUAUGUAUAAAGCUUUAUAACAAGAUUAUACACAAUCUUAGAAAUUUUGAAUCAAAACCUCAUCAAAUUGUCUAAGAUAUAGCUCAAAUCACAAGUAUAAGUAAAUUGGACUACUUACUAUCCUUAGAUUCCAAGCACUGACUUCAACUGCCAAUAUCUCCUUCAUCAAAGCUUGGAAUUUAACAAAUAUUAAAUAUAAAUUAUAGCCAAAAAAAGUGUUCUCUCCAACUCCAGUUGCCGAUCCUCGUUUGCUCUCUAUAUGCGUACGCAAUGCCCCAAAGAGUGAUAGUAGGUCCAAAAACUAACACCUUAACUUUGAGCGCCCAUAACUUCUUCAUAAAAAUCCCAAAUGACACAAAACUUAUACCAAAACUAUAGCCAAAAAUCUAAACCUUUUGACCUUAGCCUUCAAAACUCGAAUGGCUUCGAGAAACUAACCCUAAUUUCUAAUAUGGCCCCAGGCAGCCUCCUCAAAGCUCAUUGGUCAUGAUUUUUGACCAAUAGGAAUGGAGAUUUUCAUUAUUCAUCUCCAUUCAUCUAUAUUGGUGCCCUAAUUACUCCCUUUGCUACCAAAAUCCUUCUUCAAUCCUUUUUCUUAUAAGAUUUACAUAAUUUAUGCUCUAAAUACCAAAUAAAAGAACCAAAAGAAGUUUUCAAAGGUCACUAAUGUCUAACAAAGGUGAUUCUAAAUAUUUAGAAGUUACUAUCAACCAAAACCAAUCUUAAAAGCCACU